GACGAACGCUGGCGGCGUGCCUAAUACAUGCAAGUCGAGCGAGCUUGCCUAGAUGAUUUUAGUGCUUGCACUAAAUGAAACUAGAUACAAGCGAGCGGCGGACGGGUGAGUAACACGUGGGUAACCUGCCCAAGAGACUGGGAUAACACCUGGAAACAGAUGCUAAUACCGGAUAACAACACUAGACGCAUGUCUAGAGUUUGAAAGAUGGUUCUGCUAUCACUCUUGGAUGGACCUGCGGUGCAUUAGCUAGUUGGUAAGGUAACGGCUUACCAAGGCAAUGAUGCAUAGCCGAGUUGAGAGACUGAUCGGCCACAUUGGGACUGAGACACGGCCCAAACUCCUACGGGAGGCAGCAGUAGGGAAUCUUCCACAAUGGACGAAAGUCUGAUGGAGCAACGCCGCGUGAGUGAAGAAGGGUUUCGGCUCGUAAAGCUCUGUUGGUAGUGAAGAAAGAUAGAGGUAGUAACUGGCCUUUAUUUGACGGUAAUUACUUAGAAAGUCACGGCUAACUACGUGCCAGCGGCCGCGGUAAUACGUAGGUGGCAAGCGUUGUCCGGAUUUAUUGGGCGUAAAGCGAGUGCAGGCGGUUCAAUAAGUCUGAUGUGAAAGCCUUCGGCUCAACCGGAGAAUUGCAUCAGAAACUGUUGAACUUGAGUGCAGAAGAGGAGAGUGGAACUCCAUGUGUAGCGGUGGAAUGCGUAGAUAUAUGGAAGAACACCAGUGGCGAANGCGGCUCUCUGGUCUGCAACUGACGCUGAGGCUCGAAAGCAUGGGUAGCGAACAGG
Molecule: ribosomal RNA, 788 nt
Filed under: uncultured bacterium
Lineage: Bacteria
Description: bacterial SSU rRNA
Rfam family: Bacterial small subunit ribosomal RNA
Source: RNAcentral